This 253-nucleotide ribosomal RNA is filed under the name uncultured bacterium. Its description in RNAcentral is "partial 16S ribosomal RNA". It matches the Rfam family "Bacterial small subunit ribosomal RNA", at positions 524 to 776 of the family's 1533-position model. The record is from RNAcentral.
UACGGGGGGGGCAAGCGUUGUUCGGAAUUACUGGGCGUAAAGGGCUCGUAGGCGGCCAACUAAGUCAGACGUGAAAUCCCUCGGCUUAACCGGGGAACUGCGUCUGAUACUGGAUGGCUAGAGGUUGGGAGAGGGAUGCGGAAUUCCAGGUGUAGCGGUGAAAUGCGUAGAUAUCUGGAGGAACACCGGUGGCGAAGGCGGCAUCCUGGACCAAUAUUGACGCUGAGGAGCGAAAGCUAGGGGAGCAAACAGG